GAUGAACGCUAGCGGCAGGCCUAAUACAUGCAAGUCGGACGGGCAGCUGGAGCUUGCUUCCGAUGAGCGUGGCGCACGGGUGCGUGACACGCAUGUAGCCUACCUUUAUCAGGGGGAUAGCCUCCCUCAAGAGAGAGUAACCACUCACAAAAAAAAAGCACAGCCUUGUGGAUUGAUAAAAAAUUUAGGGGUUACUGAUGGGCAUGCGUAACAUUAGCUGGAUGGCGGGGGAACGGCAGACCAUGGCGACGAUGUGUAGGGGAUCUGAGAGGAUGGCCCCCCACACUGGUACCGCGACACGGACCAGACUCCGACGGGGGGCAGCAGUAACGUAUACUGGUCGAUGGGCGCUAGCCUGACCCAGCCAUGCCGCGUGCAGGAAGCCGGCGCUCCGGGUUGUCAGCUGCUUUUAUACGGGAAUAGUCCCAGAUACGUGUAUCUGGCUGACUGUACUGUAAGAAUAAGGAUCGGCUAACUCCGUG
RNAcentral lists this ribosomal RNA (482 nucleotides) under uncultured bacterium. Its description in RNAcentral is "partial 16S ribosomal RNA". It matches the Rfam family "Bacterial small subunit ribosomal RNA", at positions 28 to 507 of the family's 1533-position model. The record is from RNAcentral.